This 361-nucleotide RNase P RNA is filed under the name Alphaproteobacteria bacterium. RNAcentral's name for it is "RNase P RNA component class A". It matches the Rfam family "Bacterial RNase P class A". Rfam says of the family: Ribonuclease P (RNase P) is a ubiquitous endoribonuclease, found in archaea, bacteria and eukarya as well as chloroplasts and mitochondria. Its best characterised activity is the generation of mature 5'-ends of tRNAs by cleaving the 5'-leader elements of precursor-tRNAs. Cellular RNase Ps are ribonucleoproteins. The record is from RNAcentral. Lineage: Bacteria; Pseudomonadati; Pseudomonadota; Alphaproteobacteria.
UCAGAUGGUCGGAUGGUCGCUGUUUAGGCAGAGGAAAGUCCGGGCUCUUGAAAAUCACGGUGCCGGAUAACGUCCGGCGAGGGUGACCUUAGGGAAAGUGCCACAGAAAACAAACCGCCAUCAUAUGAUGGUAAGGGUGAAACGGUGCGGUAAGAGCGCACCGCAAUGCCGGCAACGGGAUUGGCAGGGUAAACCCCACCGGGAGCAAGACCAGAUAGGAACAUAUUGCCGUAUGGCAAAGGGUGAUUUUCCCCUAUGUUCGGGUAGGUUGCUUGAGGCGCGAAGGUAACUUCCGUCCCAGAUGAAUGGCCAUCCCGCCAAUUGCGGCGGACAGAACCCGGCUUAUAGACCAUCUGACCUA